This 253-nucleotide ribosomal RNA is filed under the name uncultured bacterium. Its description in RNAcentral is "partial 16S ribosomal RNA". It matches the Rfam family "Bacterial small subunit ribosomal RNA", at positions 524 to 776 of the family's 1533-position model. The record is from RNAcentral.
UACGUAGGGGGCAAGCGUUGUCCGGAUUUAUUGGGCGUAAAGAGCGUGUAGGCGGCUUUACAGGUCCGUUGUGAAAACUCGAGGCUCAACCUCGAGACGCCGGUGGAAACCGUAAAGCUAGAGUCCGGAAGAGGAGAGUGGAAUUCCUGGUGUAGCGGUGAAAUGCGCAGAUAUCAGGAGGAACACCGGUGGCGAAAGCGGCUUACUGGGUCUCUUCUGACGCUGAGGUGCGAAAGCGUGGGGAGCAAACAGG